This 397-nucleotide ribosomal RNA is filed under the name Protaspa sp. RNAcentral describes it as "partial small subunit ribosomal RNA". It matches the Rfam family "Eukaryotic small subunit ribosomal RNA", at positions 582 to 975 of the family's 1831-position model. Lineage: Eukaryota; Cercozoa; Thecofilosea; Cryomonadida; Protaspidae. The record is from RNAcentral.
AUUCCAGCUCCAAGAGCGUAUAUUAAAGUUGUUGCAGUUAAAAAGCUCGUAGUUGGAUUUCUGGUAUAAUGCGCCUGGCCCGCGACCGCUAGGUCUGUGAGUGCCGGUGCGCGUUUGCCAUCCUUCUAGAAAACGUUUCUACCCUUCGCUGGGCCGGAUUCGCGAUCUAGAUCUUUUACUUUGAAAAAAUUAGAGUGUUUAAAGCAGGCUUUUGCUAUGAAUACAUUAGCAUGGAAUAAUAAUCUAGGACUUCGGUUCUAUUUUGUUGGUUUCUAGUACUGAAGUAAUGAUUGAUAGGGAUAGUUGGGGGUGCUAGUAUUGGGCGGCCAGAGGUGAAAUUCUUGGAUUCGCUCAAGACUAACUUAUGCGAAAGCAUUCACCAAGGAUGUCUUCAUUA